RNAcentral lists this ribosomal RNA (591 nucleotides) under uncultured candidate division MSBL4 bacterium. RNAcentral's name for it is "bacterial SSU rRNA". It matches the Rfam family "Bacterial small subunit ribosomal RNA", at positions 513 to 1097 of the family's 1533-position model. The record is from RNAcentral.
CGCCGCGGUAAUACGGAGGUGGCUAGCGUUACUCGGUAUGACUGGGUGUAAAGGGUCCGUAGGCGGCCAUAUGUGUGGUAGGUGAAAGCUUUCGGCUCAACCGAAAAAUUGCCUAUCAAACUGUAUGGCUUGAGGAUGGAAGAGGAGAGCGGAACUGCCGGUGUAAGGGUGAAAUCUGUGGAUAUCGGCAGGAACGCCAGCGGAGAAGUCGGCUCUCUGGUCCAUUCCUGACGCUCAGGGACGAAAGCUAGGGGAGCGAACAGGAUUAGAUACCCUGGUAGUCCUAGCUGUAAACGAUGGGCACUAGAUGCUUGUCCUUUUGGAUGGGUGUCGUAGCUAACGCGUUAAGUGCCCCACCUGGGGACUACGGUCGCAAGACUAAAACUCAAAGGAAUUGACGGGGGCCUGCACAAGCGGUGGAACACGUGGUUUAAUUCGAUGCUACGCGAGGAACCUUACCAGGGCUUGACAUGCUGGAAGUAGCCACCCCGAAAGGAUUGGCCCCCUGUAACCAAUCAGGAACCAGUGCAGGUGCUGCAUGGCUGUCGUCAACUCGUGCCGUGAGGUGUUCCCUUUAGUGGGAAAAAGAGC